UGAGCUGGGGAAAUAGUAAGGGGGAUCCUUGCUGUCCCCGUAUUUUGGUCCAAAAUUUCGGCGGGAAAAGGGGAAGCUCCUCGAUGUUUGUCUCGAGAUUUGUAUUCACGCGUGGUCUUUCCCUUCGACGCGUGUAAAGUGUUUCUAGGGUUUUCGAUUCUACCCCUCCGAUUCCUCCUCCUGAUUCCUUUAGUUUCCUUUUCUCUCCCUCUUGAAGAUUUCUUGCGAUCUCCAUAUCUCAACUUGGGUCUUCAUUCCGCAGGUAACUUCUCCUUCUCUUUCGCCUACUUUUAGAUUCUUUCUUCCUUCUGCUCCUGAGAUGAGGACUGAGGCGGGUCUCUCUCCAGAUUCUUCUUCCAUAGGUAGCACAGUUAGAUCUAGUAGAUUGAGGGUUGAUCCAACGAAAUCUAUGGAUUCUUUCGAUUGUUCUCUC
This 433-nucleotide long non-coding RNA is filed under the name Brassica napus (rape). Its description in RNAcentral is "long non-coding RNA (BNAP_LNC022871)". The record is from RNAcentral. Lineage: Eukaryota; Viridiplantae; Streptophyta; Magnoliopsida; Brassicales; Brassicaceae.